This 265-nucleotide ribosomal RNA is filed under the name uncultured archaeon. Its description in RNAcentral is "partial 16S ribosomal RNA". It matches the Rfam family "Archaeal small subunit ribosomal RNA", at positions 717 to 982 of the family's 1478-position model. The record is from RNAcentral.
AGACGUCUACAUUAGGAUACCCCCGUAGUCCCAGCCGUAAACUAUGCGCGUUAGGUGUAUCGGUGACCACGAGUCACCGAGGUGCCGAAGGGAAACCGUGAAACGUGCCGCCUGGGAAGUACGGUCGCAAGGCUGAAACUUAAAGGAAUUGGCGGGGAGCACCACAACGGGUGGAGCCUGCGGUUUAAUUGGACUCAACGCCGGGAAGCUCACCGGAUAAGACAGCGGAAUGAUUGCCGGGCUGAAGACUCUGCAUGACUAGCUG